AAAAACUUAAAAAAAAAACUGUAACAUGAUUCAAUGAAUUAUUGUUGAAUUAUAUAAUCCAAACUCUUCAUUUACAUGCACAGCUCUUUACAUCUCCUACUUAAAGCAAAGAAAACACUAUUAAUUUCUCGAGAAAAGAAUGCCCAAAAUCAAAGAUCCAAUCCUAAAAAAAACCAAACAAAGAAAUGAUGAACAAACUGAUCAAAACGAAGCUAGUUCUGGGUAGGAUUCGAAACACUAGUUGGUGCUUCCCUUAAACUUGGCUCCACAGCUUUCUUGGGCUCUUCAAUGGCGCCACCAUUGACGAACUUGCUUUGAGUUUUACCAGUAGGAAAUGAAGAAGAAGAAGACAAUACCAUCUUUCUUGAAAUCUGAUACAUUUCUCCAUGGCAGGUGAGACUCAAUGAAGAAUAUGUGCAAUAUAAUUAAAGCAUGGAAAGCUAUUGAAUUCAUUAGAAUUGCAGAGAAGGAGAAGAGGAAGAAAAGAUUACAGUGAAUUAAAGAGAGAAAAUGAAUGAUUCAAAAGGAUCUGGAAAACUUUGGA
Molecule: long non-coding RNA, 544 nt
Filed under: Gossypium barbadense (sea-island cotton)
Lineage: Eukaryota; Viridiplantae; Streptophyta; Magnoliopsida; Malvales; Malvaceae
Description: long non-coding RNA (GBAR_LNC021347)
Source: RNAcentral